This 530-nucleotide ribosomal RNA is filed under the name uncultured bacterium. RNAcentral describes it as "partial 16S ribosomal RNA". It matches the Rfam family "Bacterial small subunit ribosomal RNA", at positions 28 to 523 of the family's 1533-position model. The record is from RNAcentral.
GACGAACGCUGGCGGCGUGCCUAAUACAUGCAAGUCGAACGAAGCUGUUUUAACUGGUGCUUGCACCGACUUAAACAUCGGAAUGAGUGGCGGACGGGUGAGUAACACGUGGGUAACCUGCCCAGAAGUGGGGGAUAACAUUUGGAAACAGAUGCUAAUACCGCAUAAUAGACAGAACCACAUGGUUCUAUUUUGAAAGAUGGCCUUUGUGCUAUCACUUUGGGAUGGACCCGCGGCGUAUUAGCUAGUUGGUAAGGUAAUGGCUGACCAAGGCAAGGAUAAGUAGCCGAACUGAGAGGUUGAUCGGCAACAUUGGGACUGAGACACGGCCCAAACUCCUACGGGAGGCAGCAGUAGGGAAUCUUCCACAAUGGACGAAAGUCUGAUGGAGCAACGCCGCGUGAGUGAAGAAGGUUUUCGGAUCGUAAAACUCUGUUGUCAGAGAAGAACGUGUGCGAGAGUAACUGCUCGUGCAGUGACGGUAUCUGGCCAGAAAGCCACGGCUAACUACGUGCCAGCCGCCGCGGUAA